UUGUCAGGCCACCUAAUAGACUGGACUUAUAAACUCUCUUUAAUUGUUUCUUGUAAUAUUGUAUGUUCUGUGUUUUUUUUUAUUUUUACAGGGGAAGAUGUCGCAUACGUCACACUUGUGCCUAUUGAACAUGUGACAGUUGUGUCUCUACACAGUCGGCAGUUACCUCCCGCGUAGUGUGUGAUCGUCCGUAGUCAAAUAAACAUGUCUGCAUCAAAAUUCCGAAGUUACCAAAAUCAGCCGAGUUAUCAGCUGCCUCAUCAGUGAAAGAAAAACCUGGUAUCGUUUAAGUUUUCUAACAGCUGGGACUUUUACUGUGAUGCAGUCCCGAAAAUGUCUUCCCACUCAGAACCAGAGUUGUCACACAAACACCAAGUCUGUUCUUUGGAGAUAAAUGCAUGAUUGAUGAUGAUGAAAGAGUUCCACCCUGAAAACGUUUUUCGGCUGCACUGUAACCAGUUGCAUGUAACAUCCCUGCCUCUGGUCCGUCGAAGAUUGACAUUCAACUAUGAGGACCAGCAGUGAUCGCUUAGUCGUGGUUUGAAACAUCUUGUGACGGGGCACACCCGCCGUUUCUUUUAUUUUUGCUGAUGGAAAGAAAACAUCCAAAGAGCCCCACAAAACUUGUAUCCAUGUUCUGCAAAGGCCCUUCAGACUGAUUAUGAAAUAUUCACUGAUGUCGUUUCAAGCGUCUUCCUGUUAGCUUAGAGUAAACGCUGAGCACAAAAGCUACUGUGUAUGAAAAGGAACUGCUGCUUUAAAAUAAGUUCAAGAAUUUGGUGUCAAGAAAUCAAAAAUUGUAAUACUUAAAAUAGUGACCAAGGUCAAAGGAAUUUAUUGUAUUACUGUUUUCUGCUUAAAUAUGUGAUUAGUAUGUAUUUUCUUUUGAAAUAAAAUCUAGCGGAACAGAAGCCCUGGGACGAGGGAAAGGACGAUUGCUUUCCCUCAUCCCCUGAUGAGUAAAAGGUAAGUAACGCACAAGUCUUUUAUGUUAUCUUGAAGGCUGUCGAGAUAAAUUGUAAUCCAUUUGUAAGACAUAGAUGGAGGCAGUAUUUUUUCUGCGGAUGAAUGUUUGCUAUAAAACAGAAAUAAUUUUGAAUGAAUCCUUUUUCCAAAAUUUCUCAACAAAUUAAUAUUAAUAAAAGAUUUAGUUCUAGUUUGUUUCAUAAGAUUUCCUGAAUUAUAUUUCAUUUACCUGCAAAAACGCUUAUUUUUUCGUCG
This is a long non-coding RNA of Uloborus diversus, 1221 nucleotides long. RefSeq lists it as uncharacterized. Lineage: Eukaryota; Metazoa; Arthropoda; Arachnida; Araneae; Uloboridae. The transcript is spliced from 4 exons. The record is from RefSeq and is a predicted model, not a curated record.